UUUAAUGGGUCUUCGUAUGAGAGAAAGGGAGGGGAUUGGGCUGUGUAAUCUUAAUCCUAGGUCAAGAUGGUGACUUUGUCAAGUGAUCUUGGCCAAUUCACCUCACCUCACUCACCUCCAGUUUUUAGCUGCUAAACUAGAGAUAGUAUUAUCUUCAUAGGGAGUUCAAAGAGGAUUAGAUAACACAAAUAAAUACUGUGAUGUCUGAAUCACUAGAAAUCAGGGGCGAUCGUUAGUCUUCGAUGAUGAACACUAUUUGUGUUGGGGUAACUGAGAAAUUACAUUUGAGUAUACACUAGGAUAUUCAGCUAGUGCAGUGUGGAGCAAGCUGAAGCCUUGAAUGAUUGAGAUUUUUUGACUGGUCUCAUUUUAUUCAUAACCUUAGCAGUAUUUUCUGUCUCCUGAUUUUUCUUUUUUCCUCUCAGUUUGGCUAAAUGAAAUGAGGCUCGAUCUCACCGUACUAAAGACUGAUUUCCCGAUCAAGGCCAGUGGAAAGGAAUAUAUAAUGAUACGUUUAUAAAUACCUGGAGGACAUCUUGAUUAUUUAUCAGCACUCCUUUUUCUUGGUCACCAAGAACUCUAAGUUAUAAAUAGCCCCAACAUGAUGCUCCAUUUAGCUGUUCAGCUCGUCCAUCUCCUGACUGCAAUCUUUUGCUUUUCUGCACACAUGAAUCAGCAAGUGUCUUGAGUGAUCAAAGUAGGUCCUCUAGGCAAAGAGAGAAAGACCAGAUGAGACCAGGAAGCCUAGAGAGACUCAUUAUCAGGAAGAUUUUCCCACU
RNAcentral lists this long non-coding RNA (779 nucleotides) under Felis catus (domestic cat). Its description in RNAcentral is "lncRNA (ENSFCAG00000051115.1)". The record is from RNAcentral. Lineage: Eukaryota; Metazoa; Chordata; Mammalia; Carnivora; Felidae.